This 402-nucleotide ribosomal RNA is filed under the name uncultured bacterium. RNAcentral describes it as "bacterial SSU rRNA". It matches the Rfam family "Archaeal small subunit ribosomal RNA", at positions 339 to 744 of the family's 1478-position model. The record is from RNAcentral.
GCGCGAAACCUCCGCAAUGCGAGCAAUCGCGACGGGGGACCCCAAGUGCCACUCUUAACGGGGUGGCUUCUCUUAAGUGUAAAAAGCUUUUGGAAUAAGGGCUGGGCAAGACCGGUGCCAGCCGCCGCGGUAACACCGGCAGCCCAAGUGGUGGCCAUUUUAUUGGGCCUAAAGCGUUCGUAGCCGGCCUGAUAAGUCUCUGGUGAAAUCCCGCAGCUUAACUGUGGGAAUUGCUGGAGAUACUAUCAGGCUUGAGGUCGGGAGAGGUUAGAGGUACUCCCAGGGUAGGGUGAAAUCCUAUAAUCCUGGGAGGACCACCUGUGGCGAAGGCGUCUAACUGGAACGAACCUGACGGUGAGUAACGAAAGCCAGGGGCGCGAACCGGAUUAGAAACCCGGGUAG